UACGGAGGGUGCAAGCGUUGCUCGGAAUCACUGGGCGUAAAGCGUCCGCAGGCGGGUAUUUAAGUCGGAGGUGAAAGCCCAGGGCUCAACCCUGGAACUGCCUUCGAAACUGGAUACCUUGAGUACGGGAGAGGGAAGCGGAAUUCCUGGUGUAGAGGUGAAAUUCGUAGAUAUCAGGAGGAACACCCGUGGCGAAAGCGGCUUCCUGGCCCGAUACUGACGCUCAUGGACGAAAGCGUGGGGAGCAAACAGG
RNAcentral lists this ribosomal RNA (253 nucleotides) under uncultured bacterium. RNAcentral describes it as "partial 16S ribosomal RNA". It matches the Rfam family "Bacterial small subunit ribosomal RNA", at positions 524 to 776 of the family's 1533-position model. The record is from RNAcentral.